CCAGACUCCUACGGGAGGCAGCAGUGGGGGAUAUUGCACAAUGGGGGAAACCCUGAUGCAGCGACGCCGCGUGAGUGAAGAAGUAUUUCGGUAUGUAAAGCUCUAUCAGCAGGGACGAAAAUGACGGUACCUGAGUAAGAAGCCCCGGCUGACUACGUGCCAGCAGCCGCGGUAAUACGUAGGGGGCAAGCGUUAUCCGGAUUUACUGGGUGUAAAGGGAGCGUAGACGGUUAUGUAAGUCUGGAGUGAAAGCCCGGGGCCCAACCCCGGGACUGCUUUGGAAACUGUGUAACUGGAGUACAGGAGGGGCAGGCGGAAUUCCUGGUGUAGCGGUGAAAUGCGUAGAUAUUAGGAGGAACACCAGUGGCGAAGGCGGCUUACUGGACUGUAACUGACGUUGAGGCUCGAAAGCGUGGGGAGCAAACAGGAUUAGAUACCCUUGUAU
RNAcentral lists this ribosomal RNA (445 nucleotides) under uncultured bacterium. RNAcentral's name for it is "bacterial SSU rRNA". It matches the Rfam family "Bacterial small subunit ribosomal RNA", at positions 331 to 793 of the family's 1533-position model. The record is from RNAcentral.